GGGACGACCAAGGCACGCCUUACCCAACUGUUCUUCACUCUAGAGCUUUCUGGGCAAAGGGCACAGGAGGGGACACCCUUGCAGGAUAAGGCUUGUUCGUUCCUGGGGAAUGAGAGAAGCAGAGGGACACCGGAAAAUCACUGGCCCCACUGGAGAUGCCUGAGCCGGGAAGAUGAAAGAGGAUGAUACAGGGGACUGUCUUUUUUCUCACACAGCUGGCAGCCCUGGCCUGGCGUCUGAGAGACAAAUGUGCCAGGCAUUUGCCUUGUCAAAUGAAUUAUCUUUCCUUCCCUCUCAUCGAAUAUUUACUGAGCAUCCCCAUCACUACAAGCUGAAGCCACGAUGGUGAGCAAAAGUGCUCUUCGUCCUCACAGAGCUUUAUGGAGCUCCACAUUGGCCAAUGAGAUCACAUCCUGCAACACGCAUCAGCCCCGUGGUUAAUAGCCUUCCAACAUGGCCUCCGGGAAUCCCUGCUUUCUGGUCGUCCUGCACAUGUUUAAUCCUCUCCCCUCGAGCGUGGGCUGGAUUUUGUGACUUGCUUGUAACAAAUAGAAGAUGCAAAAGCAACGUGUUUGGUUUGCGAAGACUGUGGAUUCCAUCUUGUUUGUACUCUCUCUUGCUUGCGAUAAGGAAGGAAGCUGCCAUGUUGUGAGCGGCUCUGUGAAGAGGUCCCUGUGGCAAGGACCUGAGGAUCUCUUUCAGCCAAAGCCAGAGAGGAAUUUCCCCCGCCCCCAGUCCAAUAGCCAGGAGAGAACAAAUCCUCCCAACUACCACUGAGUGAGCCCAGAAGCUCCCCUCUCCCACUGCAGUAGAGACUUGAGGUGACAGCAACCCUACCCAACAUUUUGACUGCAGAGACAUUGAGAGCUCAAGGACCCAGCUAACCUGUGCCUGUGUUCAUUCCUAAUCCACAGAAGGAUCCACAGAAAUGUGCGGUGGCUCACGCCUGUAAUCCCAGCACUUUGGGAGGCCGAGGCGGGUGGAUCACGAGGUCAAGAUAUCGAGACCAUCCUGGUCAACAUGGUGAAACCCUGUCUCUACUAAAAAUACAAAAAAUUAGCUGGGCACGGUGGCGUGUGCCUGUAAUCCCAGCCACUCGGGAGGCUGAGGCAGGAGAAUUGCCUGAACCCAGGAGGUGGAGGUUGCGGUGAGCUGAGAUUGCACCAUUGCACUCCAGCCUGGGUAACAAGAGCGAAACUCCGUCUCAAAAAGAAAGAAAAGUGCAUUAAUCCAGUGGAGAUGUACUGUGAGAUGUUGUUUUAAGCUACUGAGUGUGGGAGUAAUUUGUUACAUGGUGGUAGAUAACUAACACACACUGUAAAGUGUCAUUUGACAUUAAGGAACUGCGGCAUCAUUACAAUCUCGGUUUACUAAUGCAACUGAACAUCAACUCUGGGCCGAGCACACGGUGCCUUGGGGUUCUGAGGCCAUGGCGAUGAGCCAGACAAGACCCCAGCCUCCAAGACCUCACAGGGGCAGGUAGACACCAAAGUGCAAGCGGAGGGAGCAGAGCAAGCUUCAUGCAGGAAGGGGUGUUUGGGGUGACUUGAGGGAUGAAUAGGAUUUUAAAAGGCGGAAAUAAGGUGAAGGUAUUCCAUGGGGGAAGAGAUAGGGCAGUGCAAAACAUUUUCAAGCCUGUGACCCUGAGCUGAUGACAAUGAGAAAAAGUUGGACAGAUUCAGUUCCUCUUCUCUGGCUGGGGUUAGCACUAGGAAAAAUUGGGAAGGUGCAUCUUUACACAGCUUCCGAGCAAUGGAGACACAGAACAGCACGGUCAGGCUGGUGUGGGAACUGUGGCGUACGGAGGUGGGGUGGCAUAGAAAGGAGGGGGCUCCAUUACCUUUACCUGCCAGGAAGGUUACCUGGGCUCAACCAUCCUGGCUUUCCUGAGACAGCACUGCUAGUGGAGGAGGCUUGGGGCGGAGGAGCAUGGAGACCUGCAGCCAAAACCCUGGGUUCAAAUCUUGGCUCUGCCAAGUAGCUAGUUGUAGCAUUUUGGGAAAUUACUUUGCCUGCUCUGCAACUCCGUUGCCUCAUCUGUGAAAUGAAGCUAAUUACAGAUCCUGCCCUACAAGAUAUCAUGAGACUAAGUUAGUUAAUUUACAUUCACUAUUUCAGCUGGUGUGUGGCAUGCAAUAAAUAUGUUACUGGUAUUUUUUCAAGGGACGCAAUCUGAUCUUUGUAUCAUCCCUUUUUCUUUUUCUUCCUCCUUUCCUUCCUUUAUUCCAAAAAUAUUUCUUGAGCAGCAGACGCUGUGAUGGGAUUGUGCACAGGACACCGUGUGGGGAUUAUCACAUUAAAAGGACACAGCCACGACCCUCAGAGGGUUCACAACCUUCAGGCGGGUUUUCAUCCUAGGCUUUAGCCACCUUUCACAGAGUGUGAGCUGAGCAGAAAUCUGCCGUGGAAGGGUCAGGCCACGGUCUACCUACAUUCCACUUUGCACGGCACCUUUUACAGCUUGCUAAGAAAUGUCACAUAUUAUUUAAUUCUCACAAUAAUGUUGGGAGCUUGGUAUUAUCUAUUGUUACUAUUAACAAAUGGAGGAACCGAGGUCUAGCAUGAUUAAAGUAAUUAUCUAAGGUUACAAAGACUUUGGUGGCAAAUUAGACAUGACUAUUUCCCACGAUGUCAACAGUUUUUGAAACAGGCUGAGAGUGAGACAGGCCUUGUGGAGCAUUCGGGUCCACCUGGCAGGGAGGUCUGACAUCCCACGUGGGGCCGCCUGGAGUGCCGGUGUCUGGCCAGGCUGCCUGCUGGUUCUGGGCUUAGAAUUCAAACCAUUUCAGAAUUCUGAGGCAUCAAUAAUCCAUUUGAAAGUUAAACAAGAUGCCACUGAAAAAGGGCAUUUUUAGUCUGAGAGGGUGGCAGCUUGACUUCCAGGUCCCAGUUAAGUCCUUUCUGCAGAUGGACGCAUUUGUCCAACCUGUGCCCUUCCUCCCUGGCGUGGUGGAAGGCGCCACAGGGCACGGAGGAAAGGUGGAGGACGGGGAAGAGGGUGUGUGUGCAUCUGUGCACGUGGUGGGGAUUUAGUUCUUGAUUUUAGGGAUCCUUUCUGAGAGUACAAGGCAGGGAUCAGGUUAUUAAGAAAUUCUGAAAGAUGACUCAAGCAGUUGAGUAAAAGCAGCUUCAUUUUAUAAACCGCCAGUGGGAGCCAUUCCGGAACGUGCCCAGGUGUUCUCGUGAUUGAAAACCAACCAGCUGGAAGAAGGAAGAGAGGGAGGGAGUAGACCCCUGGAGACCAGCAUGUGAUAGCGUGUGCCGGCGACUUGUGAGGCCUGCCCAGCCCCUCCCCCUUCCCACCCACUCCUUGCCUGCCAGGUCUUCCCCUCUCUCCUCAUUGCAGGGAGACACGAGGAGGUCAGGGAGGCUGCCUGGGAGCCUGGCUUCUGCUCCCCACUAACUCCUGGCACAGUCAUAGGACAGCUCCGUGGUGGGGUGCCAUCUUUGCCCAUGGCCGGCGGUGGGUUCCACAGAGGCCUCGAUGCUGCUGAGCCAGGGAACAUGAAGUGGUGGGGCCCCACACAGUGGCUGGCUGACAGUGCUGGUGGCUGCUGUUUUUCCUAGCUAUAAGACUUCAGGCAUAUGACAACCUCUCCGAGCCAAUUUCUUCAUUUGGACAGGGAGGAUGCUGAUGCUAUCUGUCAAAUUCGGACCCCAUGUCCCCUCCCAAUUGGAGUCCCAACCCUCAGCACCUCAGAAUGUGGCCUCAUUUGGAGACAGGGUCUUUACGGGGUAAUGAAGUUAAAAUGAGGGCAUUACGGUGGGCCCUGAUACAAUACGAUUAGUAUUCUUACACAAAGAAGAAAUUGGGACACAUAAAUGAACACAUAGAGAGGGAAGAUGGUGUGACGAGAUACAGGGAGAAGAUGAUCAUCUACAAAACAAGGAGCCAACCCUGCUGGCACCUUGAUCUUGAAAUUCCAGCUUCCAGAAUUGGGAGCCAAUCCAUGUCUACUGCUGAACCCACCCCGUCUGUGGCACUGUGUUAUGGCACCUCUAGCAACCAACACAGAAUACAACUCGAGCCCAUAGGAAAGGCUAAUAUUUCUUGUGGUGGCAGGGAGGGGCCUUUCUCCUGUCCUGCCCCCAUUUUCUGAGAAGCUGUGCUUGGCCAGGUCCUGCUCAGUGGGAGGCAGCUCUGGUGUCAGGGAAAGGCCUCAGGCUCAGGUCCCUGCUCCAGCACUGAGUGGAUGGUGAGCUGGGCAGGCGUUGAACGUUUCAGAAUGUCUGUUUUAGCAACUCCAACCUGGGGCAAAUACGAAACCUCCCUGAGCAACUUGCAGGGUGGUUGUGCGGUUCAAGUGAGAUGACCGUAUACAUGGAAUCAUUUCAUGAACCCCACAGUGUCGAUUUCUGUGGUGGCUAUUACUGUCACAGGGGAGAAUUCUGAGAAUGACAGAGAAGUGUUGCAGAGAAGCUUGGGGGUAGGCAUUCCCGCUUUGUUGGGAGUUUGAUACUGCCCCAAGGGGCCCACAAUGACAGUAGCCUCGCUCACAAGUGUUGCUAGUACUGGCCCACCUUGAGUUCAGGUACGCUGCUACCAAGUGGCAGCAGGAAGCCUGCUUAUAUGUUCAACCUUUUUCUUGAGAUUCCAUAUGUAGGAAAAUACUAUUUAUUUAGUGCUUGUUCUAUGACGUGGGCUUCAUAUUUGACAUUUCUUUUCUUUUUUUUUUUUCUCUGAGAGUUUCACUCUUGUCACCCAGGCUGGAAUGAAAUGGCGCAAUCUUGGCUCACUGCAACCUCCACCUUCUGGAUUCAAGGGAUUCUCCUGUCUUAGUCUCCCGAGUAGCUGGGAUUAUAUGUGUGUGCCACCAGGCCUGGCUGCCUUUUGUAUUUUUAAUACAGAUGGGGUUGCGCCAUGUUGGCCAGGCUGGUCUCCAACUCCUGACCUCAAGUGAUCCACCUGCCUCUGCCUCCCAAAGUGCUGGGAUUACAGGCAUGAGCCACCACGCCUGGCCUCAUUCAAGCUUUCUAAAGAAGCCCCUUCCAUUUCCAAUGUGCUUAACUUCAGGUCUCCUGGCCACAUACCUUCUAUUCUUUGAUGUGUUAUUCCAAACAAGAGAAAGAGAGCCAUAGAGCCUUGCUUCUUUCUUCGCCUCUGCAGCAAGGUUUCUACCUGGUCCACGGUGAAGUCAGAUGCUGCCUGCCCCCUCUCCAAAGGGGGGCAUCUUGGUGCUUUAUUCUCCUGAUCAACAGGGAGAUCCUUUUUCUCUCUCUGGCCAGAACUGCCUCCCUGACUUGAAUUUGUGCCAAUGCUGGACUGACUUCUCUUCCAGGCUUCUAAUUCUUUUCCAGUUGAAUCUGACAACAUCUCCAAGUGGAGCGGGACACUAAGGUGGGAAGUAAACUUUUCUGCGUCCUCAGCACUUGGGCUCUGACCCAUCACUGGUCAGAUACUGCCCACACAGGGUAGGUUUAUCUCGGGCUGAGUGAGCCGGAGAGUGCGAGGGUUGGCUUGCUAUUAACUCACAAGGAGAAAUCGGGGAGUUGGAGGGUUUAAGUUGAGACAGGCCUCAGGCCACCCACAAGGAGGGCAAUGGUUUCUGGCUGACACGAGCCCAUUUCCACUCCUCAAAGGCAGAGAGUCCUCAUAUUCGGCUCUGUAACCCCAGAGCCAGUUUUGGCAUGUGGCCCGCAGCAGAAUCAUGGUGAAUAGAUACAUUUUUUUUCUUUUUUUGAGAUGGAGUCUCGAUCUGUCACCAGGCUGGAGUGCAAUGGCACGAUCUUGGCUCACUGCA
Molecule: long non-coding RNA, 5741 nt
Organism: Callithrix jacchus (white-tufted-ear marmoset)
Lineage: Eukaryota; Metazoa; Chordata; Mammalia; Primates; Cebidae
Source: RefSeq, a predicted model, not a curated record